GGGGGGCUCUCUCCGUCCCAUCUGACACCUCUGCCACCCUUUGCCCCCUCAGCAAUGAAAGGCCAUGACAUGUAGGCAUGACACACAGAAUGUCAUGUGUCUGAGCAGAAGGGACUUAAACGUGUGCCCUGCAGCUCCAUUGUCCCUUAUCACUUGUCAUUCAUGAGCUGAGAGUAUUGUGGUAGCCAAAGAGUGGCCCCCAGAGACGGCCACAUCUUUAUCCCCAGAAUCUGCGGGUGUAGUAUCUUAUGGGGCUAAGGGGCCUUGCAGCCAGAAAAAACUACCCAAUAUUCUGUGAUAAUCUAUGUGGGAAAAGAAUCUGAAAAAGAAUGGACGUGUGUACAUGUAUAACUGAGUCACUUUGUUGUACAGAAGAAAUGAUCCCAACCUUGUAAACCAAACAGAUGUCAAUAAAACAUUAGAAAAUGAAAAAAAAGAGAGAGAGAGAGAGAGAAAAGACAUGUGAUGAAGGAAACAGAGACCCAGAUUGACCUGAUGUGAGCAAAAUGCAACCAGCCAUUGCUGGCCUCGAAGGUGGAGGAAGGAGCCCAGCCAGAGUGAAGUGGCUUCUGGAAACUGGGAUAGUCAAGACAUGAUUCUUUUUUUUUUUUCUUUUCAUUUUUUCAUUUUUGAUUUUAAGGGAGAAUUGCAAUGAUUUUUAUUAUUUAUUUAUUUAUUUUGCUUUUAAGGGCCGCACCGGUGGCAUAUGGAGGUUGCCAGGCUAGGGGUCCAAUAGGAGGAUCCGAGCCGUGUCUGUGACCUACACCACAGCUUAUGGCAAUGCCAGAUCCUUAACCCACUGAGUGAGGCCAGGAAUCGAACCCGCAACCUCAUGGCUCCCAGUCGGAUUCGUUUCUGCUGCGCCAUGGCCGGAACUCCAAAGAGAUGAUUCUUGACUGGUUCCAGAAGGACCCAGCCCUGUGAGACCAUGGUGAGCCCAGGGAGACCCGCUUUAGAUUUGUGACCUCCAGAACUGUAAUGGAAUAAAUCGAUGUGGUUUUCAGUCACAGGAAGUGGAUCCCAGCUGCUGGGCUGGCCUUGCGUCCCUGGUCAGCCGGGCUCGGGGAGGGGUGGGCUGGUAGGGGUGGGAAACUGAGAAACUGGGAGGCUUCAUGCAGAAGCUCCACUCUCAGGCACAAAUAUACCCAACAACCAGGAUUUGAGAGAUGGGAUAUUUGAAACCCCUGCCUACAAAAAGGUGAUGAAAUUGGUGAUAAAAAUAGAAUAAAUUACAUCUAUUCAUAGAAAAAAUUCUCUUCUGCCUUUAAAGAUAGACCCUUUGGUGAAGAGUGGAGCCCUUGGUCGGAACUCUAUUUCCAACCCACUAUUUUUAUUUUCAUUUGAAUUUGGGGCUAAGACAGUUUACGGAUGAUAAUAUAGCCACCUGAGUUUUCCAGGAUGUUUAUAGAAUUUUCUCGUGUACCGUACCAUUAAAUGGGGGACGGUGUAUCAUUAUGCUUGAUUAUGAGCUUUGCUAAGAAGACACUUUUUUCCAAAAUGAAAGUCACAUAACCUAGGAGGAGCUAAGCAUAAACUCAGUGCCCUGAACUAGAAAAUGAACCUGUGGGUCCACCUUCCUGUCCCUGCCCUCAUCUUCUCUUUUUAUCCCAGGGGCACUGCCUCGCUAGUGGUGAGUGUUAUAAAGCCCAUUUCCUUUUUUGACUCUUGUUAACCCGAGAACAAGUACCGUCAGCCAUUCCUGAGGUUUGAGAUAAACAUUUAUGCUUUUUCUCAAUAGUCCCUGCAAUGUGGAUGGCCUGAAAGUGAUGUGGCAUUUCCACUGACGUGAUGCGAAUUCCUAGUGCUAAUGUAUAAAGCUAACGUAUAGUGUUUAAUGGUAAUACAUGAAGUGUAAUGUUAAUAUAGUGUUUAAUGCUAACAUACAGUGUUUAAUGCUAACAUACAGUGUUUAAUGCUAACAUACAGUGUUUAAUGCUAACAUACAGUGUUUAAUGUAAUAUAGUGUUUAAUGCUAACAUACAGUGUUUAAUGCUAACAUAUAGUAUUUGAUGCUAAUAUAGUGUUUAAUGCUAACAUGUAGCAUUUAAUGCUAAUAUAGUGUUUAAUGCUAAUAUGUAGUGUUAAAUGCUAGUAUAUAGUGUUUAAUGCUAACAUGUAGUGCUGGUCAGAUUUUUUUUGUUAUUAGCACACUUGUCUUUUAUGAGCAUGUUAAAAUACACAUACAUUGUUUUCAGUUCUUCAGACUUAUACCAAAA
This 2216-nucleotide long non-coding RNA is filed under the name Sus scrofa (pig). RNAcentral's name for it is "lncRNA (ENSSSCG00000054385.1)". Lineage: Eukaryota; Metazoa; Chordata; Mammalia; Artiodactyla; Suidae. The record is from RNAcentral.